This 667-nucleotide ribosomal RNA is filed under the name uncultured bacterium. RNAcentral's name for it is "bacterial SSU rRNA". It matches the Rfam family "Bacterial small subunit ribosomal RNA", at positions 138 to 807 of the family's 1533-position model. The record is from RNAcentral.
GGGGGAUAAUCGUCGGAAACGGCGUCUAAUACCCCGUAUGAAGCUGGACGGCAUCGUCUGGUUUUGAAAGAAUAUCGGAGACGGAUGGGCAUGCGGCGCAUUAGCUAGUUGGCGGGGUAACGGCCCACCAAGGCGACGAUGCGUAGGGGUUCUGAGAGGAAGGUCCCCCACACUGGUACUGAGACACGGACCAGACUCCUACGGGAGGCAGCAGUGAGGAAUAUUGGUCAAUGGGCGAGAGCCUGAACCAGCCAAGUCGCGUGAGGGAGUACUGCCCUAUGGGUUGUAAACCUCUUUUGUCGGGGAGCAAAAGCCGGACGUGUCCGUCUGUGAGAGUACCCGAAGAAAAAGCAUCGGCUAACUCCGUGCCAGCAGCCGCGGUAAUACGGAGGAUGCGAGCGUUAUCCGGAUUUAUUGGGUUUAAAGGGUGCGCAGGCGGAUUUUUAAGUCAGCGGUCAAAUCGUGGGGCUCAACCCCAUCCAGCCGUUGAAACUGGGGAUCUAGAGUGUGCGAGAGGUAUGCGGAAUGCGUGGUGUAGCGGUGAAAUGCAUAGAUAUCACGCAGAACCCCGAUUGCGAAGGCAGCAUACCGGUGCACAACUGACGCUCAGGCACGAAAGCGUGGGUAUCGAACAGGAUUAGAUACCCUGGUAGUCCACGCAGUAAAC